UACGUAGGGUGCAAGCGUUGUCCGGAAUUAUUGGGCGUAAAGAGUUCGUAGGCGGUUUGUCGCGUCGGAUGUGAAAACCCGGGGCUCAACCCCGGGCCUGCAGCCGAUACGGGCAGACUAGAGUUCGGCAGGGGAGGCUGGAAUUCCUGGUGUAGCGGUGAAAUGCGCAGAUAUCAGGAGGAACACCGGUGGCGAAGGCGGGUCUCUGGGCCGAUACUGACGCUGAGGAACGAAAGCGUGGGGAGCAAACAGG
RNAcentral lists this ribosomal RNA (253 nucleotides) under uncultured bacterium. Its description in RNAcentral is "partial 16S ribosomal RNA". It matches the Rfam family "Bacterial small subunit ribosomal RNA", at positions 524 to 776 of the family's 1533-position model. The record is from RNAcentral.